RNAcentral lists this ribosomal RNA (253 nucleotides) under uncultured bacterium. RNAcentral's name for it is "partial 16S ribosomal RNA". It matches the Rfam family "Bacterial small subunit ribosomal RNA", at positions 524 to 776 of the family's 1533-position model. The record is from RNAcentral.
UACGUAGGGUGCAAGCGUUGUCCGGAAUUAUUGGGCGUAAAGAGCUCGUAGGCGGUUCGUCGCGUCGGCUGUGAAAUCCCGAGGCUCAACCUCGGGUCUGCAGUCGAUACGGGCGGACUGGAGUUCGGCAGGGGAGACUGGAAUUCCUGGUGUAGCGGUGAAAUGCGCAGAUAUCAGGAGGAACACCGGUGGCGAAGGCGGGUCUCUGGGCAGCAACUGACGCUGAGGAGCGAAAGCGUGGGGAGCGAACAGG